CGCUGUGGCUGUGGCGUGGUCUGGGCGUCGGCAAACAAUUUCAAUAAACUUUUAAACUACGAAUCGUACAACAUCCACAAUUAGAGCCUCCAUAUAGAUUGUACACACCUGGCCGUGUAUGGAGAGGAGAUCGCAACGCGAAAUUCGAAGGUCAGGUUUUUUCUAUGGACUGAUUGAACUCCAGCUUCGCAGAAACUCUCAACUAGGAAAUGAUGGAAUGAUGGCGAGCUUACCCAAAAACCUGAACUUAGAUUAACCUGAAUCAAAGUACUAGAUAACUGGACAGUUUUUUUAUUUUUUUAUUUUGUUUUGUUACUCCUGUGCUCUGUAAAAAUUUUCAAUAUACUUCACCCAACUUCAUAUUUAUGACUUAUGUCUCUUCAUUCACACUCGGGCUCCUCAAAGAACAUUCUUCUGAUGCUGCUUUUGUGGCCGUAGUCUGCCCCUAGCCCUAACACAUUUGCGUUA
Boleophthalmus pectinirostris (great blue-spotted mudskipper) is the source of this 468-nucleotide long non-coding RNA. RefSeq lists it as uncharacterized. The transcript has 3 exons. The record is from RefSeq and is a predicted model, not a curated record. Lineage: Eukaryota; Metazoa; Chordata; Actinopteri; Gobiiformes; Gobiidae.